This 2987-nucleotide ribosomal RNA is filed under the name Salmonella enterica subsp. enterica serovar Uganda. Its description in RNAcentral is "23S ribosomal RNA". It matches the Rfam family "Bacterial large subunit ribosomal RNA". The record is from RNAcentral. Lineage: Bacteria; Pseudomonadati; Pseudomonadota; Gammaproteobacteria; Enterobacterales; Enterobacteriaceae.
GGUUAAGCGACUAAGCGUACACGGUGGAUGCCCUGGCAGUCAGAGGCGAUGAAGGGCGUGCUAAUCUGCGAUAAGCGCCGGUAAGGUGAUAUGAACCGUUAUAACCGGCGAUACCCGAAUGGGGAAACCCAGUGUGACUCGUCACACUAUCAUUAACUGAAUCCAUAGGUUAAUGAGGCGAACCGGGGGAACUGAAACAUCUAAGUACCCCGAGGAAAAGAAAUCAACCGAGAUUCCCCCAGUAGCGGCGAGCGAACGGGGAGGAGCCCAGAGCCUGAAUCAGCAUGUGUGUUAGUGGAAGCGUCUGGAAAGGCGCGCGAUACAGGGUGACAGCCCCGUACACAAAAGCGCAUGUGCUGUGAGCUCGAUGAGUAGGGCGGGACACGUGGUAUCCUGUCUGAAUAUGGGGGGACCAUCCUCCAAGGCUAAAUACUCCUGACUGACCGAUAGUGAACCAGUACCGUGAGGGAAAGGCGAAAAGAACCCCGGCGAGGGGAGUGAAAAAGAACCUGAAACCGUGUACGUACAAGCAGUGGGAGCACAGGUUUACCUGUGUGACUGCGUACCUUUUGUAUAAUGGGUCAGCGACUUAUAUUCUGUAGCAAGGUUAACCGAAUAGGGGAGCCGGAGGGAAACCGAGUCUUAAUUGGGCGUUAAGUUGCAGGGUAUAGACCCGAAACCCGGUGAUCUAGCCAUGGGCAGGUUGAAGGUUGGGUAACACUAACUGGAGGACCGAACCGACUAAUGUUGAAAAAUUAGCGGAUGACCUGUGGCUGGGGGUGAAAGGCCAAUCAAACCGGGAGAUAGCUGGUUCUCCCCGAAAGCUAUUUAGGUAGCGCCUCGUGAAUUCAUCUCCGGGGGUAGAGCACUGUUUCGGCUAGGGGGCCAUCCCGGCUUACCAACCCGAUGCAAACUGCGAAUACCGGAGAAUGUUAUCACGGGAGACACACGGCGGGUGCUAACGUCCGUCGUGAAGAGGGAAACAACCCAGACCGCCAGCUAAGGUCCCAAAGUCAUGGUUAAGUGGGAAACGAUGUGGGAAGGCCCAGACAGCCAGGAUGUUGGCUUAGAAGCAGCCAUCAUUUAAAGAAAGCGUAAUAGCUCACUGGUCGAGUCGGCCUGCGCGGAAGAUGUAACGGGGCUAAACCAUGCACCGAAGCUGCGGCAGCGAACGUAUCACUUAAAGCGAUUCAGCGGGUUACGAUUGACGGAGCGAAGCGACGUCAAAGCGUAUACAAAGUCGAGUCGGUUUAAGGAUACGUUCGUUGGGUAGGGGAGCGUUCUGUAAGCCUGUGAAGGUGGCCUGUGAGGGUUGCUGGAGGUAUCAGAAGUGCGAAUGCUGACAUAAGUAACGAUAAAGCGGGUGAAAAGCCCGCUCGCCGGAAGACCAAGGGUUCCUGUCCAACGUUAAUCGGGGCAGGGUGAGUCGACCCCUAAGGCGAGGCCGAAAGGCGUAGUCGAUGGGAAACGGGUUAAUAUUCCCGUACUUGGUGUUACUGCGAAGGGGGGACGGAGAAGGCUAUGUUGGCCGGGCGACGGUUGUCCCGGUUUAAGCGUGUAGGCUGGUUUUCCAGGCAAAUCCGGAAAAUCAAGGCUGAGGCGUGACGACGAGGCACUACGGUGCUGAAGCAACAAAUGCCCUGCUUCCAGGAAAAGCCUCUAAGCAUCAGGUAACAUCAAAUCGUACCCCAAACCGACACAGGUGGUCAGGUAGAGAAUACCAAGGCGCUUGAGAGAACUCGGGUGAAGGAACUAGGCAAAAUGGUGCCGUAACUUCGGGAGAAGGCACGCUGACACGUAGGUGAAGUGAUUUACUCAUGGAGCUGAAGUCAGUCGAAGAUACCAGCUGGCUGCAACUGUUUAUUAAAAACACAGCACUGUGCAAACACGAAAGUGGACGUAUACGGUGUGACGCCUGCCCGGUGCCGGAAGGUUAAUUGAUGGGGUCAGCGCAAGCGAAGCUCCUGAUCGAAGCCCCGGUAAACGGCGGCCGUAACUAUAACGGUCCUAAGGUAGCGAAAUUCCUUGUCGGGUAAGUUCCGACCUGCACGAAUGGCGUAAUGAUGGCCAGGCUGUCUCCACCCGAGACUCAGUGAAAUUGAACUCGCUGUGAAGAUGCAGUGUACCCGCGGCAAGACGGAAAGACCCCGUGAACCUUUACUAUAGCUUGACACUGAACAUUGAGCCUUGAUGUGUAGGAUAGGUGGGAGGCUUUGAAGCGUGGACGCCAGUCUGCGUGGAGCCGACCUUGAAAUACCACCCUUUAAUGUUUGAUGUUCUAACGUGGACCCGUAAUCCGGGUUGCGGACAGUGUCUGGUGGGUAGUUUGACUGGGGCGGUCUCCUCCUAAAGAGUAACGGAGGAGCACGAAGGUUGGCUAAUCCUGGUCGGACAUCAGGAGGUUAGUGCAAUGGCAUAAGCCAGCUUGACUGCGAGCGUGACGGCGCGAGCAGGUGCGAAAGCAGGUCAUAGUGAUCCGGUGGUUCUGAAUGGAAGGGCCAUCGCUCAACGGAUAAAAGGUACUCCGGGGAUAACAGGCUGAUACCGCCCAAGAGUUCAUAUCGACGGCGGUGUUUGGCACCUCGAUGUCGGCUCAUCACAUCCUGGGGCUGAAGUAGGUCCCAAGGGUAUGGCUGUUCGCCAUUUAAAGUGGUACGCGAGCUGGGUUUAGAACGUCGUGAGACAGUUCGGUCCCUAUCUGCCGUGGGCGCUGGAGAACUGAGGGGGGCUGCUCCUAGUACGAGAGGACCGGAGUGGACGCAUCACUGGUGUUCGGGUUGUCAUGCCAAUGGCACUGCCCGGUAGCUAAAUGCGGAAGAGAUAAGUGCUGAAAGCAUCUAAGCACGAAACUUGCCCCGAGAUGAGUUCUCCCUGAGACUUUAGGUCUCCUGAAGGAACGUUGAAGACGACGACGUUGAUAGGCCGGGUGUGUAAGCGCAGCGAUGCGUUGAGCUAACCGGUACUAAUGAACCGUGAGGCUUAACCUU